UACGUAGGUUGCGAGCGUUAUUCGGAUUUACUGGGCGUAAAGAGCACCGAGGUGGCUUCUUAAGUUGGAUGUGAAAUCUCCUGGCUUAACCGGGAGGCGCCAUUCAAAACUGGGGAGCUUGAGGUCAGCAGGGGAAGGUGGAAUUCCUGGUGUAGCGGUGGAAUGCGCAGAUAUCAGGAGGAACACCGGUGGCGAAGGCGGGUCUCUGGGCAGUAACUGACGCUGAGGAGCGAAAGCGUGGGGAGCGAACAGG
Molecule: ribosomal RNA, 253 nt
Filed under: uncultured bacterium
Lineage: Bacteria
Description: partial 16S ribosomal RNA
Rfam family: Bacterial small subunit ribosomal RNA
Source: RNAcentral